UAACAAGGUUUCCGUAGGUGAACCUGCGGAAGGAUCAUUGUCGAAACCUGCCCAGCAGAACGACCCGUGAACAUGUCCAUAAAACGAGCGGCCGGUGCUCGAUUCUUCGAGCGCUGACCCCUCACUAGGGCCUGUGCGAGGGAUACACCAGUGUGCAUGCUCGGCUUGCCCCUGCGAAUCCUCGUACACGGCUCGCUAACAAAACCCCGGCGCCGAACGCGCCAAGGAAUAACAAACGAAAAAGAUCGAGCGCCCGAUUGCCCCGGAAACGGUGUGCAAAAGGGAUGCAUCGUACUUUGAGAACCUAAACGACUCUCGGCAACGGAUAUCUCGGCUCUCGCAUCGAUGAAGAACGCAGCGAAAUGCGAUACUUGGUGUGAAUUGCAGGAUCCCGCGAACCAUCGAGUCUUUGAACGCAAGUUGCGCCCGAAGCCUUUUGGCCGAGGGCACGUCUGCCUGGGUGUCACUCAACCGUCGCCCCAUCCCCUUCCUUCGGAAGGGAUGUUAUCGGGGCGGAUGCUGGCCUCCCGUGUGCAUGUUGCCCGCGGUUAGCCCAAAUGUCCGGUCCUGGACUACGGUGCCAUGGCAAUCGGUGGUUGCAAGACCCUCGCAAAAUGCCGUGAGCGCUCGAAUGCCCAGAUGGCCUACAAGACCCCGCAGCAUGCCUACGCGCACGCUCGCACAGCGACCCC
This 692-nucleotide ribosomal RNA is filed under the name Euphorbia glanduligera. RNAcentral describes it as "eukaryotic LSU rRNA". The stretch from base 311 to 466 matches the Rfam family "5.8S ribosomal RNA". The record is from RNAcentral. Lineage: Eukaryota; Viridiplantae; Streptophyta; Magnoliopsida; Malpighiales; Euphorbiaceae.